ACAAACUUGGUCAUUUAGAGGAAGUAAAAGUCGUAACAAGGUUUCCGUAGGUGAACCUGCGGAAGGAUCAUUAAUGAGAUAGGGUUCUUCGCGAGCCCGACCCUCCAACCCAUUGUUUACGAGAUUAUUAUGUUGCUUCGGCGUUGCCGCCUGGGGGUAACACCCCUACCGGGGGCCAUAGGCUUUCGCGCGCGCGCCGAGGGGUUUUUUUAAAACUCUUCAUACUUGGUUUAUUCUAAAAUCAAUUGAAAUACUUCAAAACUUUCAACAACGGAUCUCUUGGUUCUGGCAUCGAUGAAGAACGCAGC
This 308-nucleotide unclassified non-coding RNA is filed under the name uncultured fungus. RNAcentral's name for it is "partial contains small subunit ribosomal RNA, internal transcribed spacer 1, and 5.8S ribosomal RNA". The stretch from base 1 to 73 matches the Rfam family "Eukaryotic small subunit ribosomal RNA", at positions 1759 to 1831 of the family's 1831-position model. The record is from RNAcentral. Lineage: Eukaryota; Fungi.